RNAcentral lists this ribosomal RNA (470 nucleotides) under uncultured organism. RNAcentral describes it as "partial 16S ribosomal RNA". It matches the Rfam family "Bacterial small subunit ribosomal RNA", at positions 335 to 797 of the family's 1533-position model. The record is from RNAcentral.
ACUCCUGCGGGAGGCAGCAGUGGGGAAUUUUGGACACUGGGCGAAAGCCUGAUCCAGCCAUGCCGCGUGCAGGAUGAAGGCCUUCGGGUUGUAAACUGCUUUUGUACGGAACGAAACGGCCUUUUCUAAUAAAGAGGGCUAAUGACGGUACCGUAAGAAUAAGCACCGGCUAACUACGUGCCAGCAGCCGCGGUAAUACGUAGGGUGCAAGCGUUAAUCGGAAUUACUGGGCGUAAAGCGUGCGCAGGCGGUUAUGUAAGACAGUUGUGAAAUCCCCGGGCUCAACCUGGGAACUGCAUCUGUGACUGCAUAGCUAGAGUACGGUAGAGGGGGAUGGAAUUCCGCGUGUAGCAGUGAAAUGCGUAGAUAUGCGGAGGAACACCGAUGGCGAAGGCAAUCCCCUGGACCUGUACUGACGCUCAUGCACGAAAGCGUGGGGAGCAAACAGGAUUAGAAACCCCUGUAGUCCC